Molecule: ribosomal RNA, 253 nt
Filed under: uncultured bacterium
Lineage: Bacteria
Description: partial 16S ribosomal RNA
Rfam family: Bacterial small subunit ribosomal RNA
Source: RNAcentral
UACAGAGGUCUCAAGCGUUGUUCGGAUUCAUUGGGCGUAAAGGGUGUGUAGGUGGCUCCGUAAGUCGGGUGUGAAAUUUCGGAGCUUAACUCCGAAACUGCAUUCGAUACUGCCUUGCUUGAGUACUGGAGAGGGAACUGGAAUUUACGGUGUAGCAGUGAAAUGCGUAGAGAUCGUAAGGAAGGCCAGUGGCGAAGGCGAGUUCCUGGACAGUUACUGACGCUGAGGCACGAAGGCCAGGGGAGCAAACGGG